This is a small nucleolar RNA of Coffea arabica (coffee), 107 nucleotides long. The record is from RefSeq and is a predicted model, not a curated record. NCBI's taxonomy places the organism in Eukaryota, Viridiplantae, Streptophyta, Magnoliopsida, Gentianales, Rubiaceae.
AAACCAUGGUGACGAAAUCUUCAUUGUAACUCCUGAUAACGCUCCCAAGCUUCGUACAAUGUCUCUCCUUCCUGUUGACAGAAACUCGGUAUAUCGAUGCAAAGUUU